This 88-nucleotide transfer RNA is filed under the name bacterium. Its description in RNAcentral is "tRNA-Ser". It matches the Rfam family "tRNA". From Rfam's summary of the family: Transfer RNA (tRNA) molecules are approximately 80 nucleotides in length. Their secondary structure includes four short double-helical elements and three loops (D, anti-codon, and T loops). The record is from RNAcentral.
GGAGAGGUGGCCGAGCCGGCUGAAGGCACAGGUUUGCUAAACCUGCGUAGGGGCAACUCUACCGAGGGUUCGAAUCCCUCCCUCUCCG